This 21-nucleotide non-coding RNA is filed under the name Caenorhabditis elegans. The record is from RNAcentral. Lineage: Eukaryota; Metazoa; Nematoda; Chromadorea; Rhabditida; Rhabditidae.
UAUACCGAACUGGUCCAAGUU